This 234-nucleotide unclassified non-coding RNA is filed under the name Glomus sp. RNAcentral's name for it is "partial contains 5.8S ribosomal RNA and internal transcribed spacer 2". The stretch from base 1 to 71 matches the Rfam family "5.8S ribosomal RNA", at positions 84 to 154 of the family's 154-position model. The record is from RNAcentral. Lineage: Eukaryota; Fungi; Glomeromycota; Glomeromycetes; Glomerales; Glomeraceae.
GUGAAUCAUCGAAUCUUUGAACGCAAAUUGCACUCUCUGGUAUUCCGGAAAGGAUGCCUGUUUGAGGGUCAGUUAAAUUAAAAUCGGUGUUGUUGCUACCCGUAGUGGGGGGUGAUGGAUCGGAAGUGAGUCGUUCUUUGCCUUUGGUUUAAGUGACUUAAAAUUAUGUUCGAUUUUUGAACGUAUUUUAAUUGUUACUUACGUUCGUAAUGUCACAUAUUAGGUGCGGGCAUU